GAUCAACGAUGAUGAUUUUACGUUGUAUAUUUCAUUUCAAGAUAUAUAUGAAUUAUUACAACGUCAAGCAAUGCUUAACAUCUCAAUUAUACAAUUAUGGAUGUUAUAUUUGAAUCGUAAAAUUGAAGAACUCAAUCAUGGUGACUUGUAUGGAUUUCUUGAGCCCCAAUCAAUUCAAAAAUAUGGGAAUAAAAAAGCGGAGUCUCAAAAUUAUAUCAUUGAAAGGUUACAAAAUUCACCCAAGCAAAUUUACUUUGCUCCUUACGUUGAUUAAAAUCAUUGGCAGUUAUUGGUUCUCUGUCCGACAAAGAAUGUUGUUGUUUGGUUUUGUUCUUUCCAUCGUAAGCC
Molecule: non-coding RNA, 348 nt
Organism: Cajanus cajan (pigeon pea)
Lineage: Eukaryota; Viridiplantae; Streptophyta; Magnoliopsida; Fabales; Fabaceae
Source: RefSeq, a predicted model, not a curated record